Molecule: long non-coding RNA, 5017 nt
Filed under: Populus trichocarpa (black cottonwood)
Lineage: Eukaryota; Viridiplantae; Streptophyta; Magnoliopsida; Malpighiales; Salicaceae
Description: long non-coding RNA (PTRI_LNC004703)
Source: RNAcentral
UCAUGGUGUGUGGCUGGCACACCACGUUCCCUGCCUCUCGAAUAUUCUUCUCUUUUUUAAUAAAAAAAAAACAAAAAGCAGUAGCCCGCAAAAACAAAAACUCUCCCCUUUCCUUUCUAGUUUCCAUAAAACAAGCCCAAAACUCUCCCUCUCUAACGCCUUCUACAAAGCAGAAAGAAAAAAGCAAAGAGAAUUCAAAGAGAAGAAAUGGCUUCGUUUGCAGAAGCACCACCUGGCGAUUCAAAAGUCGGAGAGAAGGUCUUUAAGACCAAGUGUGCUCAGUGUCAUACCGUCGACAAGGGUGCCGGUCAUAAGCAAGGUAACUUUAUCGCCCCCCGCUUUUUGUUUGGAUCUUAUAUUUUCGAGGUCAAAUUGUCUGUUAUUUUGUUGAUUAUUAUGUUUUCAGCCCCAAUAAUUCGUAGAUCUAAUCUGUUUAGAUGGACAGAACUGUGGAGCUCUCUCUCUCUCUCUCUCUCUCUCUCUGUGAUGGGUUUCAGGUUUUUGCAAGGAAAUCAUGAUUUUAGUGAGAGGUGGAAGCUGGGUUUAGAAAUGGAUUUAAUUAAGCAAAGAUUAAAUUUAUGUGGGUUUCUUUUAGUGUUUUUUUAAGGUUUUAGGAUGAUAUUUAUAAUUUUGGAUUGGGAUUUGGGAUCUGGUAUUUAAUGAGUGAACAUUUUCGAUAGUUAAUUUCUUCUGAGAUUUGCGUUAAAAUUAGUUGCUUGGUUCCUGUGUUUUUAAGGUUUUAAUUUGCUUCGACUGUUUAAAUGGUCAGGACCCAAUCUGAAUGGCUUGUUUGGAAGGCAGUCAGGAACAACUGCUGGAUACUCUUACUCUACUGCUAACAAGAACAUGGCUGUCACGUGGGAGGAGAAGACUUUGUAUGAUUACUUGCUCAACCCCAAGAAGGUAUUAAUCAACUCUAAAGCAUAGUAUGACUUGGCAUGUUUGUUGCAUCGACAGUGCGUCUUUAACUGGUUAAGAAGUAUGGUUUAUACAUUGAGGUUUUGUGAUAAUUCUGUGAUGAUAGCUGAACUUAGUUGCUUUCUAUCAAGUUAUGACAUUGUUACUCAGCAUUUGGUAACUUAAGGUCCCGAAGAGAAACAUGCUGGACAAUCUGCUAGGUCCAGUAAUUAGGAAGGCUGGGUUAAAAAUUGAAGGACUUGCAAACAGAGAACAUGGAGCGUGUAGAUUAUAAUGUUUAGGCUUUGCUCUGAGAUCAAGGUUGAAUAAUCAAGGAAAGCGACCCCAUCAUUGAUGAUAUUUAUCCUAUGGUGUAUGAAAUGAACUUUCACAUUUCAUUUCAAUGUGAUAAGAUAGCCUAGCAUUUAUAGUUGAUAGAAUCAUCGGACUAUCUUAGAUACAGAUGAAUAACUCAUGUCUUGACACUGGCGUUUGUGCCUCUUAUACCAUGUUUAUUUUUGUUAGUUUGCGAUGCUGACCCAUAGUGAAAAUUGUUUAUGCAGUACAUCCCUGGAACGAAGAUGGUUUUCCCUGGAUUGAAGAAGCCACAGGAGCGUGCUGAUCUCAUUGCAUACUUGAAGCAGUCCACUGCAUCUUAAGCAUUUCACACUUCCCCAUUUUGCAGUUGUUGGAGAUAAUUUUUUUUUUUUACCAAUAAAGUAACCAUCCUAUACAAUGAGCAUUGCUAGUCAAUGCUCCUUCGAAGAGUUGCCAUAAUUGGCAAACUAAACAUUCGAUUCAUUUAGCUUACUGUGCCUCUAUUUUGCAAAUAUUUGGUGGAUUACCAAUAAACAGUUUGUUAAUGAUAGUUUUUGGUUUUGAUAUUGCAUGAACAUUUCCAUAGUUGCUAUUGUUUGCCAUCAAUCUACUCUGAUGCAUAGCAGGUCUAUGGUAAAGUACUUUUGAAUGAAAUGCAAAAUGGUGUAUUGGCAUCUCUAGCAGCCGAUUACUGGAAUGCUUUCAUUUUCCAGUGUUGGAUAAAUGCAACUGAAUGAAUCAUUCCCCCUUCUACCCAUCUCCAAUGGUUUGGCCUAUUGCCCGGCAAAUUCCAUCUACGUGGGGGUGGGAGCUCCACUCGAUGCUGUUGCGGGUGAUUGGUAUUAAUCCGAUACUGUUUUUUACUGCUCUAGGUAACCUUAGAUCUUCUGUUAUGCUUGUAAGCAGUCUAAGGACUGGGAUGCAAAAUGUGAUAAAAUGGCCUUUACUAGUGACUUUGUCCGGGAAAUGCGAGUUUAUUUUUAUUUUUUCUUCCUGUCGAGUACUAUAUUUCUUACAUGCAACCAUGAUAAUCCCUAGUAAUCAAAGGUUGCCGUGACACAGUGAACUGGAAUUGAUUUCUGCUCCUUUUGUGGGUAAAAAGUACUAGAGGGAGAAACUUGUCCGCAAAUCCUGAACUGAAUAGAAAGGGGAGAGGAUGAUAUGAACGAUCGAUGGUUAAGUUGUGAGAAAAAUUGAUUACUUUUUACCUGUUAUGCAAACAAACGUGCAUUCAUACUUCGAUUAUCCAUGUUUAGUUUCAUGACACGUUUUCAGAUCAGAUCGGUCUACAAGCCUUCUUCUCAUGUCGGCCAGUAAUUCUGAUGUUAAUUACUUAUUUUAUCCCCAUAAAUGCCCCCUCUGAGAUCGAUUUACUAUGUUCUGUCUCCUUCACUCCUUUUUCCUUCCUUCUGGUUAAUGAUGGAUAAUUAUUUAACAUCACCAGUGGCCAAAAAAUCUAAAAACAUGGAGUAUAUAAGGAAAAUGUGAUAUAAAAAAACUAAAUUUGAGAAACCUUAACCUCAAAAGCACCACCGCCGUGUCUCGCGCACCUAAACAGCCACCCUCUUCCCUCUCAAUCUUGCGCUCGCCACACAGCCACCCUUUCGAAAUCGUUCAAUAACCAAAACAUUAACGAAUGAAAUGGAGUGGAAUCGAGGCGACUCGUCGAUGAGUUUGGGUAAGUUAUGGGGUGAGUCAGAUGAGUGGGUGGAGCGAGUUAAAUACUAACAUCACCAAUUUGGAUGGUCUCCAGGAGUGCUAAUGGAAAGUAAGCUCACAGACGAGCAAAAAUGGCAGAAGAAAAGUUAAAUCAGAGAGGGAGAGUAAGAGAGGGAGAUUUCCUGAAUUUCAAGCUCAUCAUUAAUUCAUCAUUUCAUAAUAUUCUCACGCCCAGACAAAUUCAGUUACAUGUAAUUUAGCCAUGAUAUUCCUUCUACACUAGCUGAUAACUAUCACGAAGUUAAUGUUCCAAGGCAAAUAAAGAACUGAAAGGAACAGAUAAAACGCUACGUAUGACAAACAAGCAAAACAAACAUGUAAAAAAAAAACAAAACAAAACAAAAAAAAAAAUACUAGUAUCUAACACUACUCUAAAAGGCAUGGGGCUUUCCCCACGCCUUUUAUUUUUCUUAUAUUAAUAUUUUUGUUUUUUUUUCUUUUCUCAUGAUUGUCUUUUUUUAAAAAAUAAAUUAUAUUUUUUUUUCAAAAUUAUUUUUGCUGAUUUUCUUUUAAUAUUGAAUUGGUUGAGAAUUUAGCUCUGUUAUUUAAAAAAAACAUUAUGGAUUGCUAUAAUGUUUCCCUGUAUGAUUUUUUUCUUUCUUUUUAUAAUUGUUUUUUUUUCCAAAAUGAUCAUUGUUGAUUUUUUUUUUCAUAUUGAGUUUGUUGAGAAUUUAGCUUUAUAGUUUUUUUAAAAAAAAACAUUGUAGAUUACUACAGUAUUUUCUCCACAUGGAUUUUGUUUUGGUACAAUAUUUCUCUAUGUUUUUUUUUCAAAAUUAUCUUUGUUGAAUAUUUUUUUUUUAAUAUUGAGUUGGUUGAGAAUUUAGCUUUAACUUUCCCUAAAUGUUUUUUCCCCCAGAAUUGUCUCUUUUUUUUUGUUUUUUUUGUGUUUUUUUCAUAAUUAUUUUUGUCAAUUUUAUUUUUUUAAUAUUGAGUUAGUUAAGAAUUUAGCUUUGUAGUUUUUUCUUUAAAACACUGUUGAUUGCUACAGUGUUUUUUCAUAUGAUUUUUUUUCUUUUUUCUUUGUUUUUUUUUCUAGAAUUGUUUUUGUCAAUUUUAGUUUUUUUCAUAUUAAGUUGGUUGAUAAUUUAGCUUUAUAGUUUUUUUCUUGAAAAAAAAACAUUGUGGAUUGCUAUAGUGUUUCUGCACAUGAUUUUUUCUUGAUACAGUGUUUCCCCACAUGUUUUUUUAUCGAUUUAUUUUCAAAAUUAUCUUUGUCGUAUUUAUAUUUUUCAUACUGAGCUGGUUGAAAAUUUAGCUUUAUAGUUUUUUUCUUUAAAACACCGUUGAUUGCUAAAGUGUUUCCCCACAUUUUUUUUUGUUAUAAUAUUUUUCAAAAUUAUCUUUAUCGAUUUUAUUAUUUUUAAUAUUGAGCUGGUUAAAAAUUACAACUGUAGAUUUUCUCAUGAAACACUAUAGAUUGCUACAGUGUUUCCUGCAUAGUUUUUUUUUCUUUUGUUUUUUUUAUGAUUUUUUCUAAAAUUAUCUUUAUUGAUUUUAGUUUUUUAAUAUUGAGUUGAUUGAAAAUUACAAUUGUAUAUUUCCUUACAAAACACUAUAGAUUGUUGUAGUGUUUCCUUACAUGAUUUUUUUUUUAUGAUUUGUUUUUAAAAUUAUUUUUGUUUAUUUUAUUUUUUUAAUAUUAAGCUGAUUGAGAAUUUAGCUUUUGUAGUUUAAUUUGUUUUUUGAAAAUAUUAUAAAUUGCAAUAAUAUUUUUUCCUAUAAUUAUUUUUUAAAAAAUUUUAUAAUUUGUUUUAUAAAUACAUGAGAAUGUGCAAGAAUACAUAAACCCGCGAAAACGCACGGGUAUAGCAACUAGUAAUGAAAAUAAAAGGCGUGGGAAAACUACAGUACUUUCCCACGCCUUUUAGAGUAUUGUUAAUAAUAAUAAUAAUAAAACAAGCCCAAAACUCUCCCCCUCCAACUCCUUCUAGAAAGCAAAAAGCAAAGAGAAUUCAAAGAGAUGAAGAAAUGGCUUCGUUUGCAGAAGCACCACCUGGCGAUUCGAAAGUCGGAGAGAAGAUCUUUAAGACCAAGUGUGCUCAGUGUCAUACCGUCGACAAGGGUGCCGGUCAUAAGCAAG